RNAcentral lists this ribosomal RNA (497 nucleotides) under uncultured bacterium. Its description in RNAcentral is "partial 16S ribosomal RNA". It matches the Rfam family "Bacterial small subunit ribosomal RNA", at positions 28 to 507 of the family's 1533-position model. The record is from RNAcentral.
GACGAACGCUGGCGGCGUGCCUAAUACAUGCAAGUUGAGCGCUGAAGGCUGGUACUUGUACCAACUUGGUGAGCCGCGCACGGGUGUGUAACGCGUGUGGAAUCUGCUUUUGAUCGGGGUACAACAUUUAGAAACGAAUGCUUAUACGGCAUAAAAACUUUAAACACAAGUUUUAUGUGUGAGAGAUGCAAUUUCAUGACUCACAGAUGAUCCCGCGUUGUAUUAGCUAGGUGGUGAGGUAAAGGCUCACCGAGGCGGGGAUACAUAGCCGACCUGAGAGGGCGGUCGGCCAGCCUGGGACGGAGACCCGGCACAAACGCAUACGGGAGGCAGCAGUAGGGAAUCUUGGGCAAUGGACGAGAGUCUGACCGAGCAACGCCGCGUGAGGAAAGAAGGUUUUCGGAUCGUAGAACUCUGUUGGUAGAGAAGAACGUUGGUGAGAGUGGAAAGAUGCUCAAGUGACGGUAAUUGGCCAGAAAGCGACGGCUAACUACGUG